CGAAGAACCUGCUUAGAAGUUGACCUUCUCCUGCUAAACCUUUGCCCCCUCCCAGCGUGGCCAUCGCUGCGGGAUGGGGGCAUUGCUGAGCACCCCCAGGGAACAGCCCGGCCCGGCAUCGCUCCGUCCCAUUGCUGUAGCGCUGAAUCAAAGCCCUCUUACAGUAACCGCCUCUGAUUGAGAACAUCCGCUCACCAAAGGCUUUCAGUGCUCUGGUGGGGGAAGAAGAAGAGGAGAAAAACCCCCAAACCCGUCCAUACACAGUGCCCCUGCAGCUGCCCCACACACCGUGACCCCAUAGCUGUGGGGUUCUGGUGCUGUCGGUGUGUCUGGCAGAGGCUCUGCAGCUCCUUCCAAACAAAGAGGGAUCUCUGGGCCGCCCUCCAUCCACCACCUCCCCUCGGUGGAAGCCUGCCCACGUCUUUUUGUGCAAAUCCUUCCCUCUCGGAUGCUAUUUGAUGUCUUCAAAGGGGCUAUUCUUAUGUGGAGAAAAGAGGGCGAGCUCAGGUCUGACAAGGCUCUUCGCUCGCAGCGCAGCUAUUUUUUCACUCGGAAGAGUGCCAGUUUGGGAUUUCAAGACAAAAAAAGAAAUAAAUAAAAUACAUAUAUUCUCUUUUUCACA
This 622-nucleotide long non-coding RNA is filed under the name Gallus gallus (chicken). RNAcentral describes it as "lncRNA (ENSGALG00010027761.1)". The record is from RNAcentral. Lineage: Eukaryota; Metazoa; Chordata; Aves; Galliformes; Phasianidae.